AUGGCGUCCCCGCCGCCGCCGCUGCUGCUAACGCUGGUGUGGGCGGCGGCGCUCCUGUGGUGCGGCGGAUGCGACGCGCGGUUCGUUGUGGAGAAGAACAGCCUCAGGGUGACGGCGCCGGAGGCGCUCAAGGGCGCCUACGAGUGCGCCAUCGGCAACUUCGGCGUGCCGCAGUACGGCGGCACCAUGGUCGGCGUCGUGGCCUACCCCAAGGCCAACCGGAAGGCCUGCAAGGGGUUCGAUGACUUCGAUGUUUCCUUCAAGGCCAGGCCCGGGGCGCUGCCCACCUUCCUGCUCGUCGACAGGGGAGAUUGCUACUUCACAAAGAAGGCAUGGAAUGCGCAAAAUGCAGGUGCAGCGGCGAUCCUUGUUGCCGAUGACAGGGAUGAACCUUUAAUCACGAUGGACACGCCUGAAGAGAGUGGAAGGGUGGAAUAUUUAGAGAACAUCACCAUCCCCUCGGCGCUAAUAUCCAAAAGCUUCGGGGAUAGGCUCAAGAAAACUAUCGAUAAUGGAGAAAUGGUUAAUGUAAACUUGGAUUGGAGGGAGUCUCUGCCCCACCCCGAUGAGCGUGUUGAGUACGAAUUCUGGACUAACAGUAACGACGAAUGUGGUCCAAAAUGUGAUAGCCAGAUUGAUUUCGUCAAGAGCUUUAAAGGAGCAGCCCAGAUACUUGAGAAGAAGGGAUACACACAGUUCACUCCGCAUUACAUUACAUGGUAUUGCCCAGAGGCCUACACUUUAAGUAAGCAGUGCAAAUCGCAGUGUAUCAACCAUGGGAGGUAUUGUGCACCUGAUCCGGAACAGGAUUUCAGCAAAGGGUAUGAUGGGAAAGAUGUAGUAGUACAAAAUUUACGCCAAGUCUGUGUUUAUAAAGUUGCUAAGGAGAGCAAGAAACCCUGGUUGUGGUGGGAUUAUGUGACUGAUUUUGCAGUUCGAUGCCCAAUGAAAGAAAUGAAGUACACCAAGGAAUGUGCUGAUGCAGUUAUCACAUCACUUGGCCUUGAUCACAAAGCAAUAGAUAAAUGUAUUGGUGAUCCAGAUGCUGAUGAAGAAAAUCCUGUUUUGAAAGCUGAACAGGACGCACAGAUUGGCAAGGGCUCUCGUGGUGAUGUCACCAUCUUACCAACUCUUGUAAUUAACAAUAGACAGUACAGAGGGAAACUUGACAAAGGAGCAGUUCUUAAAGCACUUUGUGCUGGAUUUCGUGAAACCACUGAGCCAGCUGUUUGCUUGAGUGAAGAUAUUCAAACAAAUGAGUGCUUGGAGAACAAUGGUGGCUGUUGGCAAGACAAGGCUGCUAACAUCACUGCUUGCAAGGACACUUUCCGUGGAAAAGUGUGUGAAUGUCCAGUUGUGAAAGGUGUGAAAUUCGUUGGUGAUGGCUAUACUCAUUGUGAAGCUUCCGGAGCUGGGCGGUGUGAGAUUAACAAUGGAGGCUGUUGGAAAGAAACCAUGAAUGGCCGGACAUACUCUGCUUGUACUGCUGAUGGCUGUAAGUGCCCAGAUGGGUUCAAAGGCGAUGGGAUCCACAAAUGUGAAGAUAUUGAUGAAUGCAAGGAAAGGACUGCAUGCCAGUGCAAGGAAUGCAACUGCAAGAACACAUGGGGAAGCUAUGAGUGCGGCUGCAGUGGAGGUUUGCUGUACAUGAAGGAGCAUGACACAUGCAUAAGCAAGAGUGCAGCAGCACAGGUAGGCUGGAACUUCCUGUGGGUCGUCUUCUUCGGCCUAGCGGCAGUAGGAAUUGCAGCAUAUGCAGUGUAUAAGUAUCGGAUCCGGAGGUACAUGGAUUCAGAGAUCCGCGCCAUCAUGGCGCAGUACAUGCCCCUGGAGAACCAGGGAGAGAUUCCCAGUAAUUCUCACCAUAUUGAGAUGUGA
This 1878-nucleotide ribosomal RNA is filed under the name Triticum aestivum (bread wheat). RNAcentral's name for it is "partial small subunit ribosomal RNA". Lineage: Eukaryota; Viridiplantae; Streptophyta; Magnoliopsida; Poales; Poaceae. The record is from RNAcentral.